RNAcentral lists this long non-coding RNA (825 nucleotides) under Chloebia gouldiae (Gouldian finch). Its description in RNAcentral is "Erythrura gouldiae (Gouldian finch) lncRNA (ENSEGOG00005006665.1)". Lineage: Eukaryota; Metazoa; Chordata; Aves; Passeriformes; Passeridae. The record is from RNAcentral.
AGAGCUGCUGCCAACCUGGUCAUAGGUCCCCAAAUGUACCUCCCUUGAGGGGGAAGGAAGGUGAAUCAUAUCCAGGCAGGAUCCUGGCUCAGUCAAUACCCACACACCAACUUUGCAAAGCCAAGAUUUCGGCACCAACGCCAGCUGGACACAUGUGUGCCACCAGCCCCGCUCUGGGACGGCGCUGCAGCCGUGUGCCAGCCCCUGAGCCACGCAGCAGCAGGAUCCAGACCUCCAGGUUCAUCCCUGGACCCCCAUCACGGAGCUGGUGGAGUGAGGGAUGCCUGCAGGCACCAGGAGGGGAGCGGGGUGAGGCACGAGCACGCCGAGGGCUUUCACACGCCUUCACCCACAGCAGUCGGCGCGCCUUCGUCACUCCGGGCCCAGCCAAGGAGGGAUACAAAGUUCAGCUGCACAGAACAGCAUCCCUGCACCGAGCAGCUCAGAGCACAGAGAUGAAGAUUUUGGCCCAAAAGACAGAGCCCUGUGUGCAGCUUCACUGUCCAGCCACUCCAGACCUGCUGGCUCUGAGGAGCCCACACGGGCAACGCCAAAUGGGCAAAAGAAGAUGUAAGCACGGAAGAUUUGUCAAAGAAAACAUUUUUAAAAAUAUCAUAUAUCCCACAGCUGUCCAAAGUAAUAGCUCAGCUGCUAAAAAGGUGGAAUUAAAUAGGUCAAGCUGUGGAGAUGUGCCACUCUCUGCCAGCUAAAGGAAUGAACUUCUCAUCUGUUAGACUGUUUCAUCUUUUGCUGUUCCAAGAAUCCAUCUCUCUGCUAGUAAUGAUGUCAAAUAAAUCUCCACUAAAAUGUAAAAAUGUUUAUGAU